RNAcentral lists this non-coding RNA (216 nucleotides) under Bacillota bacterium. RNAcentral describes it as "Firmicutes bacterium T-box sequence". It matches the Rfam family "T-box leader". From Rfam's summary of the family: Uncharged tRNA acts as the effector for transcription antitermination of genes in the T-box leader family. Lineage: Bacteria; Bacillati; Bacillota. The record is from RNAcentral.
UAAAAAGCGAAGAACGAAAAGAGUAACAAGCAAUUGACUCACCAGAGAGAAGCUGUCGUCGGCUGAGAGCAGUUUUUGAGGAAACCUUGUGAAGUGCAUUCGGGAGCUGAUUUUGUGAAUCAAGUAGCAAAAUACGGGUGACGAACGUUAUACGUUAUAAGUGAAAGAAUUAAUUCUUUUAAUAGAGUGGAACCGCGGAUAAACUUCGUCUCUUGU